Long non-coding RNA from Peromyscus eremicus (cactus mouse), 962 nucleotides. RefSeq lists it as uncharacterized. Lineage: Eukaryota; Metazoa; Chordata; Mammalia; Rodentia; Cricetidae. The record is from RefSeq and is a predicted model, not a curated record. The transcript has 3 exons.
UGCGUGCGUGCGUGCGUACCCGAAGUUAACUAUUUAGUUUCUUUGUUGCCUCUUUUACUAUAAAAUCUAUCUCAUGCUGAAGUCAAUGGGAAAGAUAUCUACAGCCGCUGCUGUCUCCUAAGGCUCCUUCAGAAUCACAGUUGUGGUGAAACAUGGAACGCUCCCUACAGGAUUAUAUACAAUGUGACCAGUCAUAUAACACUCACGUCCUUGCUUGCCCUGAUGGGCUGGAGCUCUCCACGUAGAAGCAAUAAUAAACCCGUCCUAUCUUAAGUGCUUCUUGCCAUGGAUUUGAUCACAGCAACAAGAAACUUCCUGACACAGAGCCCGAGGCAUGGAUGAGAAACACUGCAGCGCCUCUUCCAGCCUUCCAUGGCCAACACGACGUCGUUUGUCGUUGCCAGCACCAUAGGCUGCAACAAACCAAGGAGAAUGCUGGCCAGGCUCAACGGGGACCCCAGUCUGUCCCUAAUGGAUGGCAAAGCCACAUUCACAGCCAAGUGCUCUCCCCUUCCUCCACCCUUCCCUUCUCCUUCCUUCCUUCCACACCACAAACCUGGUCAAAGAUUAGGUACAUGACAAACUGGCCCAAUUUAAGGCAUAGAACUUGAUGAACUUUGACCUGUCUAUAUGCUUCUAAAACCAACACCACCAUCAAGAGGACUGACCUUUCCAUACCAGAGUGUCACCUUGUCCCUUCCUCUCCGAUCACUCAUCUAUCUGCUGUCCUCGUGUAUUGGUUUGUACCAUCUAGAACUUUCCACAGAUGGAGUCGUCAAUGUCACCUCCUUACUCUCCAGUCCUCUCGGUGUAAUGGCCCGGAAAAUGUUCCAUAGUGUGUUGUGUAUCAGUACCUCAUCCCGUUUGUCAGCCUUCUGCUCUCUGGAUACACCACAGUUUGCUGAACUAUUUACCUACUAAAGAGCCCAUUUGGACAAUUAAAACUUCUCUGUUUGUACACA